This 260-nucleotide ribosomal RNA is filed under the name uncultured bacterium. Its description in RNAcentral is "partial 16S ribosomal RNA". It matches the Rfam family "Bacterial small subunit ribosomal RNA", at positions 524 to 776 of the family's 1533-position model. The record is from RNAcentral.
UACGAAGGGGGGCUAGCGUUGCUCGGAAUCACUGGGCGUAAAGGGUGCGUAGGCGGCGCACCAAGUCAGGCGUGAAAAGCCCUGGGCUCAACCCCGGGAAUUGCGCUUGAGACUGGUGUGCUUGAGUACGGGAGAGGAUAGUGGAAAUUCCCAGUGUAGAGGUGAAAUUCGUAGAUAUUGGGAAAGAACACCCGGGUGGCGAAGGCGGCUAUCUGGACCGUAACUGACGCUGAGGCGCGAAAGCGUGGGGAGCAAACAGG